UCAUGCCUGAAGUUUCACGUGAUGAGGGAGUAUACCAAAGAGAAGGAUGCCUCUCAUAUAUUCACAUGUAAAAGUUUUUUGGGAUUGGGCUUAUUAUGUGAGAAAGAGUCUCACGAUUUUGUUCAAUGCCCUAACCCUCCAUGCACCUCCUCUCUAUGUCUCCCUUCACCUCAUGUCCAAGUGUUGGACUAAAAAAAAAGAUUGGGAUGCCUGAUCCAAUCCUAGCAUGAAGAUUUCUUAUACUUG
This 246-nucleotide long non-coding RNA is filed under the name Elaeis guineensis (African oil palm). RNAcentral's name for it is "long non-coding RNA (EGUI_LNC057025)". The record is from RNAcentral. Lineage: Eukaryota; Viridiplantae; Streptophyta; Magnoliopsida; Arecales; Arecaceae.